Molecule: ribosomal RNA, 1413 nt
Filed under: uncultured bacterium
Lineage: Bacteria
Description: bacterial SSU rRNA
Rfam family: Bacterial small subunit ribosomal RNA
Source: RNAcentral
GAUUAACGCUGGCGGUGUGCAUUAGGUAUGCAAGUCGAGCGAUCCACCUUCGGGUGGAUAGCGGCGGACGGCUGAGUAACACGUAGGAACCUAUCCCUUGGAGGAGCAUAGCUUGUCGAAAGAUGGGGUAAUUCUCCAUGGUCUAUGUACCAUUCGGUACAUAGUAAAGGGCAUAACUGCCCGCCAAAGGAGGGGCCUGCGGCUUAUCAGGUAGUUGGUAGGGUAAUGGCCUACCAAGCCGAUGACGGGUAGCUGGUCUGGGAGGACGGACAGCCAGAGGGGCACUGAGACACGGGCCCCACUCCUACGGGAGGCAGCAACCAGGAAUUUUGCGCAAUGGGCGAAAGCCUGACGCAGCGACACCGCGUGCGGGAAGAAGGCCUUAGGGUUGUAAACCGCUGUGGUAGGGGAAGAAUAAAAUGACGGUACCCUACUAGAAAGUGGCUGCUAACCACGUGCCAGAAGCCUCGGUCAGACGUGGGCCACAAGCGUUAUCCGGUUUUAUUGGGCGUAAAAGGACGCGUAGGCGGUUAAAUAAGUUAUGUUUUAAAUCCUUCUGCUUAACAGAAGAUUCGGCAUAAUACUGUUUAACUAGAGUUUCUCUCAGGGAAGCGGAACGUACUUUGUAGCGGUAAAAUGCGUUGAUAAAGUACGGAACACCAACGGCGAAGGCAGCUUCCUGGAGAUUUACUGACGCUGAGGCUCGAAAGCUAGGGUAGCGAAAGGGAUUAGAGACCCCUGUAGUCCUAGCCCUAAACGCAUGUCUGCUAGUUGGUUUAACAUUUAUGUUGGACCGGCGUAAGCUAACGCGUUAAGCAGACUGCCUGGGAACUACGAGCGCAAGCUUAAAACUCAAAUGAAUAGGCGGGGACCUACACAACGAGUGGAACAUGUGGCUCAAUUCGACACGAACCGAAGAACCUCACCAAGGCUUGACAUACUUAUGACGAUCUCGUGAAAGCGGGAUUUUCCUUAGGGACAUAUGUACAGCUGGUGCAUGGCUGUCGUCAGCUCGUUCCGUGAGGAGUACCCUUAAGUGGGACAACGAGCGCAACCCCCGUUCCGAGUUAUAUGUGUCUCGGAAGACGGUCUUGAUAAUCAUCAAGAAGGAAGGAGGGGCAGACGUCAAGUCAUCAUGUCGCUUAUGCCUUGGGCUGCACACAUGUUACAAUGGGUAAUACAACGGGUUGUGCGACUUCGUAAGGAGAAGCUAAUCUCUUAAAAUUACUCUCAGUGGGGAUUGGGGUCUGAAAUUCGGCCCCAUGAACGCGGAAUUCGUAGUAAUCGCAGAUCAGCUAUGCUGCGGUGAAUACGUUCUUGGGUCUUGCACUCACCGCCCGUCAAGCCAACAAAGUCGGGAGUGCCUAAAAAUCACGCUUUGCGAGAACUAGGGUAAGCUCGGCGAUGGGGACU